ACGCUCGACACCUACGGGAGGCAGCAGUGGGGAAUAUUGCACAAUGGGGGAAACCCUGAUGCAGCGACGCCGCGUGGAGGAAGAAGGUCUUCGGAUUGUAAACUCCUGUUGUUGGGGAAAAAGNGGAUGGUACCCAACAAGGAAGUGACGGCUAACUACGUGUCAGCAGCCGCGGUAAUCUGAGGCGGGCUGGCAAGGC
Molecule: ribosomal RNA, 199 nt
Filed under: uncultured bacterium
Lineage: Bacteria
Description: partial 16S ribosomal RNA
Rfam family: Bacterial small subunit ribosomal RNA
Source: RNAcentral